GAUAAACGCUGGCGGCGUGCCUAAUACAUGCAAGUCGAGCGAACGGACGAGAAGCUUGCUUUUCUGAUGUUAGCGGCGGACGGGUGAGUAACACGUGGAUAACCUACCUAUAAGACUGGGAUAACUUCGGGAAACCGGAGCUAAUACCGGAUAAUAUUUUGAACCGCAUGGUUCAAAAGUGAAAGACGGUCUUGCUGUCACUUAUAGAUGGAUCCGCGCUGCAUUAGCUAGUUGGUAAGGUAACGGCUUACCAAGGCAACGAUGCAUAGCCGACCUGAGAGGGUGAUCGGCCACACUGGAACUGAGACACGGUCCAGACUCCUACGGGAGGCAGCAGUAGGGAAUCUUCCGCAAUGGGCGAAAGCCUGACGGAGCAACGCCGCGUGAGUGAUGAAGGUCUUCGGAUCGUAAAACUCUGUUAUUAGGGAAGAACAUAUGUGUAAGUAACUGUGCACAUCUUGACGGUACCUAAUCAGAAAGCCACGGCUAACUACGUG
This 497-nucleotide ribosomal RNA is filed under the name uncultured bacterium. Its description in RNAcentral is "partial 16S ribosomal RNA". It matches the Rfam family "Bacterial small subunit ribosomal RNA", at positions 28 to 507 of the family's 1533-position model. The record is from RNAcentral.